Oryza barthii is the source of this 208-nucleotide non-coding RNA. The record is from Rfam. NCBI's taxonomy places the organism in Eukaryota, Viridiplantae, Streptophyta, Magnoliopsida, Poales, Poaceae.
AAUAAGUAUAGUUUUACACUAUUCACAUUUAAUGUUUGACUGUUCGUCUUAUUUGAAAUUUUUUUUAUGAUUAGUAUUUUUAUUGCUAUUAGAUGAUAAAACAUGAAUAAUACUUUAUGUGUGACUAAAUAUUUUUAAAUUUUUCACAAAAUUUCAAAUAAAACGAAUGGUCAAAUGUUGGGCACGGAUAUCCACGGCUGCACUUAUU